Molecule: non-coding RNA, 28 nt
Filed under: Rattus norvegicus (Norway rat)
Lineage: Eukaryota; Metazoa; Chordata; Mammalia; Rodentia; Muridae
Source: RNAcentral
CUUCUUGAAAUGGCCCCACCAUGGAUCC